This 208-nucleotide ribosomal RNA is filed under the name uncultured bacterium. RNAcentral describes it as "partial 16S ribosomal RNA". It matches the Rfam family "Bacterial small subunit ribosomal RNA", at positions 524 to 731 of the family's 1533-position model. The record is from RNAcentral.
UACGUAGGGUGCAAGCGUUGUCCGGAAUUAUUGGGCGUAAAGAGCUCGUAGGCGGUUUGUUGCGUCGGCUGUGAAAUCCCGAGGCUCAACCUCGGGUCUGCAGUCGAUACGAGCAAACUAGAGUGUUGCAGGGGAGACUGGAAUUCCUGGUGUAGCGGUGAAAUGCGCAGAUAUCAGGAGGAACACCGGUGGCGAAGGCGGGUCUGCA